Labeo rohita (rohu) is the source of this 2460-nucleotide RNA transcript. It is a transcript of the gene named gastrula zinc finger protein XlCGF8.2DB-like, with no coding region annotated. The record is from RefSeq and is a predicted model, not a curated record. The transcript is spliced from 3 exons. NCBI's taxonomy places the organism in Eukaryota, Metazoa, Chordata, Actinopteri, Cypriniformes, Cyprinidae.
ACACCAUUAAACCCCAGAGGAAGAAGAUUAGUUUCACAGCGCUGUGUUUUGUUGUGAUGCUGUUUUAAUACAAGCUGUUAGAAAUGUUGUUUCUGUAGAUACAAUAAGUUUUUGAACCAAUCUAGUAAAUUUCUGUAAUAUUCUCAUCCUCAUAGUCGUGACUAAUUUUGAAGCAAGCAGGAAUAUCUGGAGGAGAACCAGCUGAACUGAGAUCUGCUGCUGUGAAGAUGGUGUUUGUUAAAGAGGAGAGUGAAGAGGACAUGGAUGAACCAGAACCCUGGAGAAUAAAACAAGAAGAACCAGAAACCAGGAGAAUAAAACAGGAGGAACACGGAGGCCUGAUGAAAGUGAAAGAGGAAAUACAAGAUCUGAAUGAAGUGGAGGAGAUGCUUCAGCAUCAGAAAGCUCAUGAUGCAACUGGAGAAAAAUCAGUGAGUUUCUCCAAAACUGAAAACAGUUGCUCACAACGCAACGUUCAAGGAAAAGAGGUCAAAAGGCCCUUCAGCUGCUCUCAGUGUGGAAAUGCAUUUACUCGUAAAAAAUACCUUGAGAAUCACAUGAGAAGUCAUAAUAGAAUAAAUCCUUUCACCUGCUCUGAGUGUGGACGUACUUUUACACACAAAGGAAGCCUUAAGAAUCACAUGUUAAUUCAUACAGGAAAAAAGUCUUUUACCUGCUCUCAGUGUGGAAACUCGUUCAGUCACAAAGGAAGCCUUUGGAAUCACAUGAAAAUUCACACUGGAAUAAAUUCUUUCAGCUGCUCUCAGUGUGGAAAGAAUUUCACGCAGAAAAGAAAACUUAAUGAGCAUAUGCUAAUUCACACUUCACAAAACCAACUAACUUGUCCUCAGUGUGGAAAGACAUUUACGUGUAAAGGAAGUCUGAAGACUCACAUGUUAAUUCAUGCUGGAAUAAAGCCUUUCGUCUGCCCCCAGUGUGGGAACAGUUUUAGAUAUAAAGGAUGCCUUAAGGAUCAUUUGGUAACUCACUCUUCAGAAAAGCCUUUCACCUGCUCUGAGUGUGGAAAGUCUCUGUCACGUAGAGAAAGCCUGAAGAAUCACAUGUUAACUCAUGCUGGAAUAAAGCCUUUUGUGUGCUCUCAGUGUGGAAAGAGUUUUACACAGAAAAAACAACUCAAUGAGCAUGCACUUAUUCACACCUCAGAAAAGCCUUUCACCUGCUCUGAGUGUGGAAAGACUUUGUCACGUAGAGAGAGCCUGAAGAAUCACAUGUUGAUUCAUGCUGGAAUAAAGUCUUUUACCUGCUCUCAGUGUGGAAAGAGUUUCACACAAAAAAAACAACUUAAUGAGCAUGUGCUUUAUCACACCUCAGAAAAGUCUUUAACCUGCUCUCUGUGUGGAAAGAGUUUCAAACGUAAAGAAAGCCUUAAGAAUCACAUGUUCAUUCAUGCUGGAAUAAAGCCUUUCAGCUGUUCUCAGUGUGGAAAGUGUUUCACACAAAAAAAACAACUUAAUGUGCAUGUGCGCAUUCACACUUCAGAAAAGUCUUUCACCUAUUAGUUCACAUGUUAAUUCAUGCUGGGGGAAAACCUUUUUGCUAACUCUCAGUGUGGAAAGUGUUUCACCUGUAAACAAGGAGUUAAUAGUCACAUGAGAAUCAUCGAAGCAAUUCCUUAUGCAUGCCAUCUGUGUGAAAAGAGCUUUAAAUGGAAAACGUGGCUCAAAGCUUAUUUGCACUCUGCAGUAUGGUGAUUUAAAGGUGCUGUAAACAAUUUUGAGAAAGCUGUUGAAUGUGAAUCAGACCAAGCCCCACAACACACUUGCAAUCAAUCAGCAUUAGGGGCCAUGUCACUCAAACCAUUUAUUCACUGUUAAAAAGGCCUGCUGACUUUUAUUUUGAAGUGUUCUGGCGAUCAGCCAAUGUGCUGUCAACACCGCAACAUAAAGACACUCGGACUGGGCGAUAUGGAAAAAAAUAUAUAUCUUAUGGAUAAUCGCCUUUAAAAUUAUUGCAGUGUCUUUUGACAUUGUCUACCAAAGCCCCACCUCCAUCACGUCUCCCCCACACCGGGACAACGUUGCAGACAUGCAGCAUAAACACACACCAUGUUCAGUUUGGCCUUAAUUAUUGCCAUGGUUGGUUUUACUUUUCUUUGUUUGUGCUUAGAAAACAUCAGCUUUGCUGUUAUGAUGCUGUUGCUAAUAAUGUCCACUCUGUUCUUAUCAAAUUUGUGUUCGAAAUUAAUUUAAUUUUGUGAGGAGAACUGAUGAGGAAAAAUAAUAGAACCCAAUUUUACGUCUUGGUGAUGUUAGACAUUCUGGCCAUGAUAAUAAAUGCAUGUUGAUGCCACAGUAAUAUGUCUUGAAUAAAAUACGUCUAUUUUCGUAUGUUUCUCUUAUUAUUAUAAUUAUAGUUGUUUAAUUGGUUUUAAACUUGUAGCCAAGCUAUAAUGUAUUUGAUAAAUACUAUGUAUGAUUAAAAUCAGGGAAUAAAGAGAAA